GAACCAGCGGAGGGAUCAUUACCGAGUUUUCAACUCCCUAACCCUUCUGUG
Molecule: ribosomal RNA, 51 nt
Filed under: Beauveria bassiana
Lineage: Eukaryota; Fungi; Ascomycota; Sordariomycetes; Hypocreales; Cordycipitaceae
Description: partial 18S ribosomal RNA
Source: RNAcentral